AUGGCUAGGGUUCCUGGCGUCGGAUCUGGUGCCAGUGGCCAUGUCGUUGUCGUCCUCGUCUCAUCCACGUGCGGGGAGGAACGUCCAGUGGACAACCUUGCUGCGGCUCGGGAUGAAGCAGCCACGAGCUUCCUCCUCCUCCGGCUUCAGGUUUUGACCAUGGCCAACAUAUAUUCUUUUAGGCUAAUUACUAAAUCAAUCUUACGAUGGUUCAUGUGGCUGCGGAGUUGUAGCAACGGCAGUUUGAAGCAGAUUAGGCGCCCCGGGCGUCUUUGCCAGCGAGGCUGUCGAGUGAAGGAAAUGGCAGUGUGGGAGUGA
RNAcentral lists this ribosomal RNA (318 nucleotides) under Triticum aestivum (bread wheat). RNAcentral describes it as "partial small subunit ribosomal RNA". The record is from RNAcentral. Lineage: Eukaryota; Viridiplantae; Streptophyta; Magnoliopsida; Poales; Poaceae.